UACGUAGGUGGCAAGCGUUGUCCGGAUUUACUGGGCGUAAAGAGCGCGCAGGCGGUCGAUCAAGUCGCGUGUGAAAGCCCCCGGCUCAACUGGGGAGGGUCACGCGAUACUGAUCGACUCGAAGGCAGGAGAGGGUAGCGGAAUUCCAGGUGUAGCGGUGAAAUGCGUAGAUAUCUGGAGGAACACCGGUGGCGAAGGCGGCAUCCUGGACCAAUACUGACGCUGAGGAGCGAAAGCCAGGGGAGCAAACGGG
RNAcentral lists this ribosomal RNA (253 nucleotides) under uncultured bacterium. Its description in RNAcentral is "partial 16S ribosomal RNA". It matches the Rfam family "Bacterial small subunit ribosomal RNA", at positions 524 to 776 of the family's 1533-position model. The record is from RNAcentral.